This 424-nucleotide ribosomal RNA is filed under the name uncultured prokaryote. RNAcentral's name for it is "bacterial SSU rRNA". It matches the Rfam family "Bacterial small subunit ribosomal RNA", at positions 355 to 796 of the family's 1533-position model. The record is from RNAcentral.
UGGGGAAUAUUGGACAAUGGGGGCAACCCUGAUCCAGCCAUGCCGCGUGCGUGAAGAAGGCCUUAGGGUUGUAAAGCGCUUUCACUGGUGAAGAUGAUGACGGUAGCCAGAGAAGAAGCCCCGGCUAACUCCGUGCCAGCAGCCGCGGUAAUACGGAGGGGGCAAGCGUUGUUCGGAAUUACUGGGCGUAAAGGGCGCGUAGGCGGAACAUCAAGUUAGGGGUGAAAGGCCCGGGCUCAACCUGGGAACGGCCUCUAAAACUGAUGAUCUUGAGUCCGGAAGAGGAUGGCGGAAUUCCCAGUGUAGAGGUGAAAUUCGUAGAUAUUGGGAAGAACACCGGUGGCGAAGGCGGCCAUCUGGUCCGGAACUGACGCUGAGGCGCGAAAGCGUGGGGAGCAAACAGGAUUAGAUACCCCCGUAGUCC